GAGGAGCUUGCUCUUCAAAUCGAGUGGCGAACGGGUGAGUAACGCGUGAGGAACCUGCCUCAAAGAGGGGGACAACAGUUGGAAACGACUGCUAAUACCGCAUAAGCCCACGGCUCGGCAUCGAGCAGAGGGAAAAGGAGCAAUCCGCUUUGAGAUGGCCUCGCGUCCGAUUAGCUAGUUGGUGAGGUAAUGGCCCACCAAGGCGACGAUCGGUAGCCGGACUGAGAGGUUGAACGGCCACAUUGGGACUGAGACACGGCCCAGACUCCUACGGGAGGCAGCAGUGGGGAAUAUUGCACAAUGGGGGAAACCCUGAUGCAGCGACGCCGCGUGGAGGAAGAAGGUCUUCGGAUUGUAAACUCCUGUUGUUGAGGAAGAUAAUGACGGCACUCAACAAGGAAGUGACGGCUAACUACGUGCCAGCAGCCGCGGUAAAACGUAGGUCACAAGCGUUGUCCGGAAUUACUGGGUGUAAAGGGAGCGCAGGCGGGAGAACAAGUUGGAAGUGAAAUCCAUGGGCUCAACCCAUGAACUGCUUUCAAAACUGUUUUUCUUGAGUAGUGCAGAGGUAGGCGGAAUUCCCGGUGUAGCGGUGGAAUGCGUAGAUAUCGGGAGGAACACCAGUGGCGAAGGCGGCCUACUGGGCACCAACUGACGCUGAGGCUCGAAAGUGUGGGUAGCAAACAGGAUUAGAUACCC
RNAcentral lists this ribosomal RNA (699 nucleotides) under uncultured bacterium. RNAcentral's name for it is "bacterial SSU rRNA". It matches the Rfam family "Bacterial small subunit ribosomal RNA", at positions 73 to 787 of the family's 1533-position model. The record is from RNAcentral.